This 65-nucleotide non-coding RNA is filed under the name unclassified sequences. Its description in RNAcentral is "DUF3800-VIII RNA". It matches the Rfam family "DUF3800-VIII RNA". Rfam says of the family: Bacteroidetes, Cyanobacteria, Firmicutes, Planctomycetes (1 example), Proteobacteria, Tenericutes (1 example). Nearby to DUF3800 The record is from Rfam by way of RNAcentral.
UUUUUCCUGCCACGUCGAAGCCCUACGUUCCUACGCGGGGUACUUAGUAGGCGGGGCGGGGAUUA